RNAcentral lists this long non-coding RNA (604 nucleotides) under Physcomitrium patens. Its description in RNAcentral is "long non-coding RNA (PPAT_LNC011522)". The record is from RNAcentral. Lineage: Eukaryota; Viridiplantae; Streptophyta; Bryopsida; Funariales; Funariaceae.
AAGUCUCUGUGGUGUGGGAUGCUUAUGAAGCAUGCAAGGACGCACAUGGUAUCUGCAUUAUCACUGAGUGGGACGAGUUCAAGAAACUCGAUUACCAAAAGAUUUAUGACAACAUGCAGAAGCCUGCCUUCCUGUUCGACGGGCGCAAUGUCCUUAACGUAGAGGAGAUGCGCAAGAUUGGCUUUGUUGUUUACUCCAUCGGCAAGCCUCUCGACCCAUGGGUUAAGGAUCUCCAGGUGUCUAUCUAAAUUUAGAAUUGUAACGCAUUAUUGACUUAUUCAUUUACCACCUGGUCGAUUCUUUAUCCCCGACCGAUUGUGCACCGGGCAGAUUACAUCCUAACCUCUGUUCGCGAUCUCGACGACCUGGGAUCCUAUUCUCUGGGUUUCGGAACAUGUGGGUAGUUAGUAUAAAGCAGCAUAGUAAGCGAUUCAGCGCCGAGUGCCAAGAUGAGUGAGUUUUAUUAUGGACAGGUAGUGUCAGUUUUGAUAUGUGGACAUGCCACGGCAAUAGAUCUGAGGUUGUUGGGCCUGGCGCACGUAUACUCUAGUCAGAUGAGGUUCUCCUAGUCCGAAGACGUCAGGCCUUCCAGAGUGAAGGAAGC